GCUGGAGGUAUCAGAAGUGCGAAUGCUGACAUAAGUAACGAUAAAGCGGGUGAAAAGCCCGCUCGCCGGAAGACCAAGGGUUCCUGUCCAACGUUAAUCGGGGCAGGGUGAGUCGACCCCUAAGGCGAGGCCGAAAGGCGUAGUCGAUGGGAAACAGGUUAAUAUUCCUGUACUUGGUGUUACUGCGAAGGGGGGACGGAGAAGGCUAUGUUGGCCGGGCGACGGUUGUCCCGGUUUAAGCGUGUAGGCUGGUUUUCCAGGCAAAUCCGGAAAAUCAAGGCUGAGGCGUGAUGACGAGGCACUACGGUGCUGAAGCAACAAAUGCCCUGCUUCCAGGAAAAGCCUCUAAGCAUCAGGUAACAUCAAAUCGUACCCCAAACCGACACAGGUGGUCAGGUAGAGAAUACCAAGGCGCUUGAGAGAACUCGGGUGAAGGAACUAGGCAAAAUGGUGCCGUAACUUCGGGAGAAGGCACGCUGAUAUGUAGGUGAAGUCCCUCGCGGAUGGAGCUGAAAUCAGUCGAAGAUACCAGCUGGCUGCAACUGUUUAUUAAAAACACAGCACUGUGCAAACACGAAAGUGGACGUAUACGGUGUGACGCCUGCCCGGUGCCGGAAGGUUAAUUGAUGGGGUCAGCGCAAGCGAAGCUCUUGAUCGAAGCCCCGGUAAACGGCGGCCGUAACUAUAACGGUCCUAAGGUAGCGAAAUUCCUUGUCGGGUAAGUUCCGACCUGCACGAAUGGCGUAAUGAUGGCCAGGCUGUCUCCACCCGAGACUCAGUGAAAUUGAACUCGCUGUGAAGAUGCAGUGUACCCGCGGCAAGACGGAAAGACCCCGUGAACCUUUACUAUAGCUUGACACUGAACAUUGAGCCUUGAUGUGUAGGAUAGGUGGGAGGCUUUGAAGUGUGGACGCCAGUCUGCAUGGAGCCGACCUUGAAAUACCACCCUUUAAUGUUUGAUGUUCUAACGUUGACCCGUAAUCCGGGUUGCGGACAGUGUCUGGUGGGUAGUUUGACUGGGGCGGUCUCCUCCUAAAGAGUAACGGAGGAGCACGAAGGUUGGCUAAUCCUGGUCGGACAUCAGGAGGUUAGUGCAAUGGCAUAAGCCAGCUUGACUGCGAGCGUGACGGCGCGAGCAGGUGCGAAAGCAGGUCAUAGUGAUCCGGUGGUUCUGAAUGGAAGGGCCAUCGCUCAACGGAUAAAAGGUACUCCGGGGAUAACAGGCUGAUACCGCCCAAGAGUUCAUAUCGACGGCGGUGUUUGGCACCUCGAUGUCGGCUCAUCACAUCCUGGGGCUGAAGUAGGUCCCAAGGGUAUGGCUGUUCGCCAUUUAAAGUGGUACGCGAGCUGGGUUUAGAACGUCGUGAGACAGUUCGGUCCCUAUCUGCCGUGGGCGCUGGAGAACUGAGGGGGGCUGCUCCUAGUACGAGAGGACCGGAGUGGACGCAUCACUGGUGUUCGGGUUGUCAUGCCAAUGGCACUGCCCGGUAGCUAAAUGCGGAAGAGAUAAGUGCUGAAAGCAUCUAAGCACGAAACUUGCCCCGAGAUGAGUUCUCCCUGACUCCUUGAGAGUCCUGAAGGAACGUUGAAGACGACGACGUUGAUAGGCCGGGUGUGUAAGCGCAGCGAUGCGUUGAGCUAACCGGUACUAAUGAACCGUGAGGCUUAACCUU
RNAcentral lists this ribosomal RNA (1673 nucleotides) under human gut metagenome. RNAcentral describes it as "bacterial LSU rRNA". It matches the Rfam family "Bacterial large subunit ribosomal RNA", at positions 1272 to 2925 of the family's 2925-position model. The record is from RNAcentral.